UCACUCAGGGCAAUAUGCUCUCAGUGACUGAAAAGCCAGAUCCUCACAAGAGGAAUGCCUUCUGGAGAAAUGGUCCAUGCACCCUGCACUUCCCUGUUGAUCAAAGGCACCACAGCUGUCCCAGGGACAAUAGCUUAAAAUUGCCUCAAGUCUCAGCAAAGAUUCAGCUUCAAGAAAGUGACAGUAGCAGAGGGAAUUGGGCAUAUUUACAAACAAAGUAAAAGUAACUCAUUAUGAAAGUAAAAUUUAAUUGCCAAUUAUUGCACAUUUUUGUAGCAUGGAUUUUGUACAUUUACUGAAAGCCUCUUCAUGUGCAUUCUGCUCUUUUAAUAGAG
RNAcentral lists this long non-coding RNA (335 nucleotides) under Taeniopygia guttata (zebra finch). Its description in RNAcentral is "lncRNA (ENSTGUG00000019174.1)". Lineage: Eukaryota; Metazoa; Chordata; Aves; Passeriformes; Estrildidae. The record is from RNAcentral.